GUGCCCACUUUGGCAGCGCAUUUACUAAAAAUUGGAAAGAUACAGAGAAGAUUAGCAUAGCCCUUGCACGAGGAUCACAUGCAAGUUUGUGGAGCGUUUUAUAUUUCU
This 108-nucleotide small nuclear RNA is filed under the name Catagonus wagneri (Chacoan peccary). The record is from RNAcentral. Lineage: Eukaryota; Metazoa; Chordata; Mammalia; Artiodactyla; Tayassuidae.